AAGUCGUAACAAGGUUUCCGUAGGUGAACCUGCGGAAGGAUCAUUAACACGUAUCCAACGUAAAAAACCCCGAACAGAAGUUACAGUUACGAUUGAGCGGAGAUAGCUGCAUGGCAUCCCGAAGCAGUCAGUGUCUGAAAGUGUCAUUGAUUGUCUAAGGAUCUCGCCUCAACGAUUGCCAGAGGUCGCUCACCGACCGGCAGACAUGCAACCGGGUCCCCACGCCCCUUUACAACCCCAUUACCUCUGUGAGUCGCGGGAAACUAGCGGCUAAAAAACCUCGAACAACUGUUAACAAUGGAUAUCUUGGUUCUC
Molecule: unclassified non-coding RNA, 315 nt
Filed under: fungal sp.
Lineage: Eukaryota; Fungi
Description: partial internal transcribed spacer region
Rfam family: Eukaryotic small subunit ribosomal RNA (bases 1-46)
Source: RNAcentral